Molecule: transfer RNA, 24 nt
Filed under: Cacopsylla crataegi
Lineage: Eukaryota; Metazoa; Arthropoda; Insecta; Hemiptera; Psyllidae
Description: partial tRNA-Cys
Source: RNAcentral
AAUUUUUUAGUCAGAAAUGAUUUC